UAAGGAAUAUUGGUCAAUGGACGCAAGUCUGAACCAGCCAUGCCGCGUGGAGGAUGAAGGCCCUCUGGGUUGUAAACUUCUUUUAUGGGGGACGAAAUCACUUAUUCUUAAGUGUCUGACGGUACCCCAGGAAUAAGCACCGGCUAACUCCGUGCCAGCAGCCGCGGUAAUACGGAGGGUGCAAGCGUUAUCCGGAUUCACUGGGUUUAAAGGGUGCGUAGGAGGGCAGGAAAGUCAGUGGUGAAAUCCUAGGGCUUAACUCUAGAACUGCCGUUGAUACUACUUGUCUUGAAUAUCGUGGAGGCGAGCGGAAUAUGUCAUGUAGCGGUGAAAUGCUUAGAUAUGACAUAGAACACCAAUUGCGAAGGCAGCUCACUACACGAAUAUUGACUCUGAGGCACGAAAGCGUGGGGAUCAAACAGGAUUAGAUACCCUGGUAGUCCACGCCCUAAACUAUGGAUACUCGACAUACGCGAUACACUGUGUGUGUCUGAGCGAAAGCAUUAAGUAUCCCCACCUGGGGAAGUACGACCGCAAGGUUGAAACUUAAAGGAAUUGACGGGGUCAUAGCUGUUUCCUG
Molecule: ribosomal RNA, 580 nt
Filed under: uncultured bacterium
Lineage: Bacteria
Description: partial 16S ribosomal RNA
Rfam family: Bacterial small subunit ribosomal RNA
Source: RNAcentral